Molecule: ribosomal RNA, 497 nt
Filed under: uncultured bacterium
Lineage: Bacteria
Description: partial 16S ribosomal RNA
Rfam family: Bacterial small subunit ribosomal RNA
Source: RNAcentral
GAUGAACGCUGGCGGCGUGCCUAAUACAUGCAAGUCGAGCGAACGGACGAGAAGCUUGCUUCUCUGAUGUUAGCGGCGGACGGGUGAGUAACACGUGGAUAACCUACCUAUAAGGCUGGGAUAACUUCGGGAAACCGGAGCUAAUACCGGAUGAUAUUUUGAACCGCAUGGUUCAAAAGUGAAAGACGGUCUUGCUGUCACUUAUAGAUGGAUCCGCGCUGCAUUAGCUAGUUGGUAAGGUAACGGCUUACCAAGGCAACGAUGCAUAGCCGACCUGAGAGGGUGAUCGGCCACACUGGAACUGAGACACGGUCCAGACUCCUACGGGAGGCAGCAGUAGGGAAUCUUCCACAAUGGGCGAAAGCCUGACGGAGCAACGCCGCGUGAGUGAUGAAGGUCUUCGGAUCGUAAAACUCUGUUAUUAGGGAAGAACAUAUGUGUAAGUAACUGUGCACAUCUUGACGGUACCUAAUCAGAAAGCCACGGCUAACUACGUG